Molecule: long non-coding RNA, 363 nt
Filed under: Heterocephalus glaber (naked mole-rat)
Lineage: Eukaryota; Metazoa; Chordata; Mammalia; Rodentia; Bathyergidae
Description: lncRNA (ENSHGLG00000033408.1)
Source: RNAcentral
CUUAUAGCCUGGAUGGACCAUAAAGGGACAGAAAGAAGGCUGGCUUACUCUGCUGCUGCUGCCGCUGCUUGCUGCCUUCUGUCUGCCCUGCCACUCCAUGGGCUGUUUCUCCUUUGCCAUGCCAUGCCACCCUGCUUUGGAACCAGCCAACUGUGGACUGAAACCUGUACAAACUGUGAGCUGAAAUAAGCCUUUCCUUCUUGUUGGGACCAGGACAAAGCAGAUGAGGAAAGAAACAGAUCCAGAAUCAAAAGUAAUGCUUAGGGUGCACAGAGGGCUUCCCCUCCGAAGAUGCUACUAUUUAUUCCAUCUCAAACACCAUGUCCACUGUGGAUGGCUUUCACCCCUCAGCAUGAGACAGUC